Molecule: ribosomal RNA, 492 nt
Filed under: uncultured bacterium
Lineage: Bacteria
Description: partial 16S ribosomal RNA
Rfam family: Bacterial small subunit ribosomal RNA
Source: RNAcentral
AGUGAACGCUGGCGGUAGGCCUAACACAUGCAAGUCGAACGGCAGCACAGUAAGAGCUUGCUCUUACGGGUGGCGAGUGGCGGACGGGUGAGGAAUACAUCGGAAUCUACUUUUUCGUGGGGGAUAACGUAGGGAAACUUACGCUAAUACCGCAUACGACCUACGGGUGAAAGCAGGGGAUCUUCGCACCUUGCGCGAUUGAUUGAGCCGAUGUCGGAUUAGCUAGUUGGCGGGGUAAAGGCCCACCAAGGCGACGAUCCGUAGCUGGUCUGAGAGGAUGAUCAGCCACACUGGAACUGAGACACGGUCCAGACUCCUACGGGAGGCAGCAGUAGGGAAUAUUGGACAAUGGGCGCAAGCCUGAUCCAGCCAUGCCGCGUGGGUGAAGAAGGCCUUCGGGUUGUAAAGCCCUUUUGUUGGGAAAGAAAAGCAGCAGGUUAAUACCCCGCUGUUCUGACGGUACCCAAAGAGUAAGCACCGGCUAACUUCGUG